Molecule: unclassified non-coding RNA, 349 nt
Filed under: Hevea brasiliensis (rubber tree)
Lineage: Eukaryota; Viridiplantae; Streptophyta; Magnoliopsida; Malpighiales; Euphorbiaceae
Source: RNAcentral
UUCCAAGGAUCAAAGUGCAGUUUCCAUGACAGCAGCUAGGGGCACCAUGGGAUAUAUAGCACCUGAAGUGUACUCCAGGAACUUUGGGAAUGUGUCCCAUAAGUCGGACGUUUACAGCUUUGGAGUAUUAGUGCUUGAAAUGGUUGGAGGGAGGAAGAACGUUGAAGUUGCAGCAGAGAAUGCUUGCCAGAUCUAUUUUCCAGAAUGGAUCUAUAAUCUCUUAGAGCGAGGAGAAGACCUGAGAAUCCAUAUUGAAGAGGAGGGAGAUGCAAAUAUUGCAAAGAAGCUUGCAAUUGUUGGGCUCUGGUGCAUUCAGUGGCAUCCAGUCCAGCGUCCUUCCAUGAAAGUA